This 490-nucleotide ribosomal RNA is filed under the name uncultured bacterium. RNAcentral's name for it is "partial 16S ribosomal RNA". It matches the Rfam family "Bacterial small subunit ribosomal RNA", at positions 30 to 507 of the family's 1533-position model. The record is from RNAcentral.
AUUGAACGCUGGCGGCAGGCCUAACACAUGCAAGUCGAACGGUAACAGGAAGACUCUUGCUUCUUUGCUGACGAGUGGCGGACGGGUGAGUCAUGUCUGGGCAACUGCCUGCUGGAGGGGGAUAACUACUGGAAACGGUAGCUACUACCGCAUAACGUCGCAAGACCAAAGAGGGGGACCUUCGUGCCUCUUGCCGUCGGGUGUGCCGAGAUGGGAUUUGCUAGUAGGUGGGGUAACGGCCCACCUAGCCGACGAUCCCUAGCUGGCCUGAGAGGAUGACCAGCGACAGUGGAACUGAGUCACGGUCCAGACUCCUACGGGAGGACGCAGUGGGGAAUAUUGGACAAUGGGCGCAAGCAUGAUGGAACAAUGCGGCGUGUAUGAAGAAGGCCUCGGGGUUGGAAAGUACUCUCAGCGGGGAGGAAGGGCGUAAAGCUAAUACCACGGCUCAUUGACGUUACCCGCAGAAGAAGCACCGGCUAACUCCGUG